CACAAAGAGCGUCACCUAGGGGUACCAUAGCCAUCCAGAAUGGGGCUCCCACAUUAGAAAGCCACUUGUUCUUCUUCAGGCUGGAAAAAGCUCGUUGACAUAAGACAAUACGAGAUGAGGAACGUACUCAACGAAAGAAAAUUGGAAGCGAGACUCACAGGACACACCAUGUUUUUUGGGCUGAAGACAAGCACUUUGAUGACUGUGCCAGACAGUUAAAUAAAAAACACUUUGUGCCUC
Molecule: long non-coding RNA, 240 nt
Organism: Spea bombifrons (plains spadefoot toad)
Lineage: Eukaryota; Metazoa; Chordata; Amphibia; Anura; Pelobatidae
Exons: 2
Source: RefSeq, a predicted model, not a curated record